This 253-nucleotide ribosomal RNA is filed under the name uncultured bacterium. RNAcentral's name for it is "partial 16S ribosomal RNA". It matches the Rfam family "Bacterial small subunit ribosomal RNA", at positions 524 to 776 of the family's 1533-position model. The record is from RNAcentral.
UACGAAGGGGGCUAGCGUUGCUCGGAAUGACUGGGCGUAAAGGGCGCGUAGGCGGUUUGUACAGUCAGGUGUGAAAUUCCCGGGCUCAACCUGGGGGCUGCACUUGAUACGUAGGAACUGGAGUGGGGAAGAGGGUCGUGGAAUUCCCAGUGUAGAAGUGAAAUUCGUAGAUAUUGGGAAGAACACCGGUGGCGAAGGCGGCGACCUGGUCCUUGACUGACGCUGAGGCGCGAAAGCGUGGGGAGCAAACAGG